CGUAUCUUAGUGGCGGACGGGUGAGUAACGCGUGGGUAACCUGCCUUACACUGGGGGAUAACACUUAGAAAUAGGUGCUAAUACCGCAUAACAGUAGGAGACGCAUGUCUUUUACUUGAAAACUCCGGUGGUGUAAGAUGGACCCGCGUCUGAUUAGCUUGUUGGCGGGGUAACGGCUCACCAAGGCAACGAUCAGUAGCCGGCCUGAGAGGGUGAACGGCCACAUUGGGACUGAGACACGGCCCAAACUCCUACGGGAGGCAGCAG
RNAcentral lists this ribosomal RNA (267 nucleotides) under uncultured bacterium. Its description in RNAcentral is "partial 16S ribosomal RNA". It matches the Rfam family "Bacterial small subunit ribosomal RNA", at positions 86 to 354 of the family's 1533-position model. The record is from RNAcentral.